RNAcentral lists this ribosomal RNA (263 nucleotides) under uncultured bacterium. Its description in RNAcentral is "partial small subunit ribosomal RNA". It matches the Rfam family "Bacterial small subunit ribosomal RNA", at positions 26 to 287 of the family's 1533-position model. The record is from RNAcentral.
AGGACGAACGCUGGCGGCGUGGAUUAGGCAUGCAAGUUGAGCGACGGUUAGGCUUCGGCUUAAUACGGAGCAGCGAACGGGUGAGUAACACGUGAACAAUCUGUCCCUUCAUUCCGGAUAAUUGGUCGAAAGGCCUUGUAAUACGGGCGAGGGUCUCUGGAAGGCAUCUUUUGGAGAAGGAAGGCGCAAGCCGUGCAGGGAGGAGUUCGCGGCCUAUCAGUUAGUUGGUGGGGUAAUGGCCUACCAAGACGACGACGGGUAGC